GGUGACUGCGUACCUUUUGUAUAAUGGGUCAGCGACUUAUAUUCUGUAGCAAGGUUAACCGCAUAGGGGAGCCGAAGGGAAACCGAGUCUUAAUUGGGCGUUAAGUUGCAGGGUAUAGACCCGAAACCCGGUGAUCUAGCCAUGGGCAGGUUGAAGGUUGGGUAACACUAACUGGAGGACCGAACCGACUAAUGUUGAAAAAUUAGCGGAUGACCUGUGGCUGGGGGUGAAAGGCCAAUCAAACCGGGAGAUAGCUGGUUCUCCCCGAAAGCUAUUUAGGUAGCGCCUCGUGAACUCAUCUCCGGGGGUAGAGCACUGUUUCGGCUAGGGGGCCAUCCCGGCUUACCAACCCGAUGCAAACUGCGAAUACCGGAGAAUGUUAUCACGGGAGACACACGGCGGGUGCUAACGUCCGUCGUGAAGAGGGAAACAACCCAGACCGCCAGCUAAGGUCCCAAAGUCAUGGUUAAGUGGGAAACGAUGUGGGAAGGCCCAGACAGCCAGGAUGUUGGCUUAGAAGCAGCCAUCAUUUAAAGAAAGCGUAAUAGCUCACUGGUCGAGUCGGCCUGCGCGGAAGAUGUAACGGGGCUAAACCAUGCACCGAAGCUGCGGCAGCGACACUGUGUGUUGUUGGGUAGGGGAGCGUUCUGUAAGCCGUUGAAGGUGUCCUGUGAGGGGUGCUGGAGGUAUCAGAAGUGCGAAUGCUGACAUAAGUAACGAUAAAGCGGGUGAAAAGCCCGCUCGCCGGAAGACCAAGGGUUCCUGUCCAACGUUAAUCGGGGCAGGGUGAGUCGACCCCUAAGGCGAGGCCGAAAGGCGUAGUCGAUGGGAAACGGGUUAAUAUUCCCGUACUUGGUGUUACUGCGAAGGGGGGACGGAGAAGGCUAUGUUGGCCGGGCGACGGUUGUCCCGGUUUAAGCGUGUAGGCUGGUUUUCCAGGCAAAUCCGGAAAAUCAAGGCUGAGGCGUGAUGACGAGGCACCACGGUGCUGAAGCAACAAAUGCCCUGCUUCCAGGAAAAGCCUCUAAGCAUCAGGUAACAUCAAAUCGUACCCCAAACCGACACAGGUGGUCAGGUAGAGAAUACCAAGGCGCUUGAGAGAACUCGGGUGAAGGAACUAGGCAAAAUGGUGCCGUAACUUCGGGAGAAGGCACGCUGACACGUAGGUGAAGUGAUUUACUCACGGAGCUGAAGUCAGUCGAAGAUACCAGCUGGCUGCAACUGUUUAUUAAAAACACAGCACUGUGCAAACACGAAAGUGGACGUAUACGGUGUGACGCCUGCCCGGUGCCGGAAGGUUAAUUGAUGGGGUCAGCGCAAGCGAAGCUCCUGAUCGAAGCCCCGGUAAACGGCGGCCGUAACUAUAACGGUCCUAAGGUAGCGAAAUUCCUUGUCGGGUAAGUUCCGACCUGCACGAAUGGCGUAAUGAUGGCCAGGCUGUCUCCACCCGAGACUCAGUGAAAUUGAACUCGCUGUGAAGAUGCAGUGUACCCGCGGCAAGACGGAAAGACCCCGUGAACCUUUACUAUAGCUUGACACUGAACAUUGAGCCUUGAUGUGUAGGAUAGGUGGGAGGCUUUGAAGCGUGGACGCCAGUCUGCGUGGAGCCGACCUUGAAAUACCACCCUUUAAUGUUUGAUGUUCUAACGUGGACCCGUAAUCCGGGUUGCGGACAGUGUCUGGUGGGUAGUUUGACUGGGGCGGUCUCCUCCUAAAGAGUAACGGAGGAGCACGAAGGUUGGCUAAUCCUGGUCGGACAUCAGGAGGUUAGUGCAAUGGCAUAAGCCAGCUUGACUGCGAGCGUGACGGCGCGAGCAGGUGCGAAAGCAGGUCAUAGUGAUCCGGUGGUUCUGAAUGGAAGGGCCAUCGCUCAACGGAUAAAAGGUACUCCGGGGAUAACAGGCUGAUACCGCCCAAGAGUUCAUAUCGACGGCGGUGUUUGGCACCUCGAUGUCGGCUCAUCACAUCCUGGGGCUGAAGUAGGUCCCAAGGGUAUGGCUGUUCGCCAUUUAAAGUGGUACGCGAGCUGGGUUUAGAACGUCGUGAGACAGUUCGGUCCCUAUCUGCCGUGGGCGCUGGAAGACUGAGGGGGGCUGCUCCUAGUACGAGAGGACCGGAGUGGACGCAUCACUGGUGUUCGGGUUGUCAUGCCAAUGGCACUGCCCGGUAGCUAAAUGCGGAAAAGAUAAGUGCUGAAAGCAUCUAAGCACGAAACUUGCCCCGAGAUGAGUCUUCCCUGAGACCUUGA
Molecule: ribosomal RNA, 2248 nt
Filed under: Salmonella enterica subsp. diarizonae serovar 38:z10:z53
Lineage: Bacteria; Pseudomonadati; Pseudomonadota; Gammaproteobacteria; Enterobacterales; Enterobacteriaceae
Description: bacterial LSU rRNA
Rfam family: Bacterial large subunit ribosomal RNA
Source: RNAcentral